AUUGAACGCUGGCGGCAUGCCUUACACAUGCAAGUCGAACGGUAACAGGUCUUCGGAUGCUGACGAGUGGCGAACGGGUGAGUAAUACAUCGGAACGUGCCUAGUAGUGGGGGAUAACUACUCGAAAGAGUGGCUAAUACCGCAUGAGAUCUACGGAUGAAAGCAGGGGGUCGCAAGACCUUGUGCUACUAGAGCGGCCGAUGGCAGAUUAGGUAGUUGGUGGGAUAAAAGCUUACCAAGCCGACGAUCUGUACGUGGUCUGAGAGGACGAUCAGCCAGACUGGGACGGAGACACGGCCAAGACUCCUACGGGAGGCAGCAGUGGGGAGUUUUGGACAAUGGGCGAAAGCCUGAUCCAGCAAUGCCGCGUGCAGGAUGAAGGCCUUCGGGUUGUAAACUGCUUUUGUACGGAACGAAAAGCCCCGGGUUAAUACCCUGGGGUCAUGACGGUACCGUAAGAAUAAGCACCGGCUAACUACGUGCCAGCCGCCGCAGUAA
Molecule: ribosomal RNA, 498 nt
Filed under: uncultured bacterium
Lineage: Bacteria
Description: partial 16S ribosomal RNA
Rfam family: Bacterial small subunit ribosomal RNA
Source: RNAcentral